UACGUAGGGGGCUAGCGUUGCCCGGAAUCACUGGGCGUAAAGGGCGCGUAGGCGGCGUUUUAAGUCGGGGGUGAAAGCCUGUGGCUCAACCACAGAAUGGCCUUCGAUACUGGGACGCUUGAGUAUGGUAGAGGUUGGUGGAACUGCGAGUGUAGAGGUGAAAUUCGUAGAUAUUCGCAAGAACACCAGUGGCGAAGGCGGCUCACUGGCCCGAUACUGACGCUGAGGUGCGAAAGCGUGGGGAGCAAACAGG
Molecule: ribosomal RNA, 253 nt
Filed under: uncultured bacterium
Lineage: Bacteria
Description: partial 16S ribosomal RNA
Rfam family: Bacterial small subunit ribosomal RNA
Source: RNAcentral